UUUAGUCAUCCCUCCCUGAAUAUGCCUGAUUUCAUCUGAUUUCAGAAGCUAAGCAGGGUCAGCCCUGGUUAGAACCUGGAAGGGAGAAAGGAGCCAGAUUUAGUUUAUCAUUCUGGGUGGUACUAAUU
Mustela putorius furo (domestic ferret) is the source of this 128-nucleotide ribosomal RNA. The record is from Ensembl. NCBI's taxonomy places the organism in Eukaryota, Metazoa, Chordata, Mammalia, Carnivora, Mustelidae.